CUUGUAAUUGUAACACUUCUCUGCUAAAUUUGGGAACUAAAAGCAAAAGAAACAAAUUUUUUAGUUUUUCAUUCAAAAUGAUCCAAAGCUAAGUAAUUUGACUUUCUAUUCACUAUAGAGGAAAGUGCCAUUAAGGUCUAGAGUUCACCUCAACCAUAACUUCUGUGACAGCUGCAAGUUUGUUUCUAAGAUUCCACCUCAAGUAAAUACUUGCUCUUUGUAUGAAUUUUCUGUAGAGGUGAUGGAGUCAAAAUGACUGCUUUGCUGUUGGUGUAUGUACCUUGGAGCUGGAUUUUUCUAUGAAGUCUGUAGAAGCUUGUUACCACGUUAAAUGCCCAGCUUUCAUGAAAUCCACAGCUGAAGGGUUUGUUGUCCUUCUAGUCGUGUAUUUUCAGCCCACCCAGCACUUUUCUGAGGUACUGGUACUUGCAUCUUUUGCUUCAGCAUCCUAGAAAUUCAAGGAUCUUCUUGGCUUCUACAUUAUGGGAGAUAUUGCACUCAGAUAAACUGCAACUCUAAAGAAUAAUCAGCUGCUUGCAAGAAUAUUUCAGCUGACAUCCCUAUGAUUAAAACAAAGCUAAACCUAGUAGUUGUGGUUUUGGUUAUGAAGCUGAUUCAAAUGUGAAAGGUGCGACAAGGAUGCUUCUCUCCACUGAAGGAUAUUGAAGUGCCUGGAGACUGGCCCCCUCCCUGCUUCCCAGAAGGUGCUGCCAUUUGUUUCCCGCUCCACUGGCCAAGCCUUGGCUGAGCAGAGCCCUGGGCAGCCACUGGACCCAGCGGGAGCAGCGGCAGCGCUCCACAUCCUGCUGGCAUGCUCCGAGCAGGGCGGCUUUGCGCAACGCUGCAACUUCUUGUCUGGGGCAAAAGGGACACAAGAGGACUCUCAUUCCUCGUUUAACUACUGUGGGGCAUAUGUCAUGGGUAGCACAUCCCAAAGAGAUGCUUUCAGCAGCCAAAGAGAGCUGUUAUGUCAUUGUCAGCGGGGGCUGGGCUUGGUGCGCCUCCCUCGGGAUGUCACCUCUCCAGCUGGGAAGUCCUGGCAUGGCAGGUAGCAGCCAAGCUGCUCCACUUUUGGUGCCUGACCACAGACCUCCCAGACUGUGGGCUUCCUGGCCAGUUUGGCCAUAGAGCAGAACCAGAGAUAUCGUCAUUUAUUUUUUUAGCUCAUUACCAACUUCAUUGCACAAGUGUCAUUCCGCUAUGGCUGAUGUAAUGGCAAGUCAAGUCCUUGGGCUAAUGGACUGAACUGUGCCUUGGCUGUAAACUGCAGACUUCCAGAGGAAGCAUCAAAGCUCUCAUUUUGUAUUUGUCCCUAGGAAAGCAAAUGAAAAUAUAUCGUUGUUCUCAAGAUUGCUGAAAGAAGCAAGUCCUUUUUUUAAAAUUUUAUUUCUGCAGCCAUGAAUAGUAAAUUUCCUCCAUUCAUGACUGGUUUAUAAAAGAGUUUGGGAACUAACCAGAUCUGAAGAACUUUCUCUCUCACCAAGUAUUGCAGUAGGGGAAUUGUUUGUAUUUUUUAUUACUUUCUCAAUAUUUUUGUUAUCCUCUUUUCCAAGACACUAUUAGAUUUUCCAGUCUUCUGGACAUCAAAGAUUUUGGAGAGGAGAUUGUAUAAACUGGAUAGGUAACAGCUGUUACCAGAUGGAUUUACUGGGGGAAAGGGGAGAGGGCUAGUUUGUUUUAUGUGUUUCCUCCCACUGCUGGCCCUUUUCACUGUGGCACACUGUUGCUGUCCUGUGACAGGGAGUGUCCUUGCACAGAGGGAGCCCUUGUCCACAGGAUUGCACCGAACUUUGGGUUUCACUCUUGGUUAUAAGUGUCUUUUCCAAGUGCCUUCUUCAGAGCUUUUUUAGCUGGUUGUCCAGUAGUUUAUUGGAGAGAAAUAAAAUGAGAGAGCAGCUCUAGUAUUGUUAGAUAAUAGCACUGAUUGACAGAAUAUCAUUUCUAACUUGAAAUUUCAAGUCACAAAGUGUAGUUUGCUUCACUUCUGGAUAUCUCAGGACACUUACAGUUGGAUUUAUUUUUCUAAAAUAAAUAAUUGAAUUCCUCAAGAAAGGUCACAGUACCAAAGGGGAGUUUCAGCUGUAUCAUCUCUGUUGUGCCCUUCUAUCUAACAUGGGAAUGAACAUUUGCAUGAAUCCUCUUUAUUUUUUCAUCUUGUGUGAGAUUCCUUGUGCAAGGAAUUCCUCUUUUAGAUUGCUGACUGUUUAAGAAAGGUCAUAGAGGGGAGAUGGUGAUUUGUAAUAUUGCAAAGCACUAAGUGGUAAAAGAGACUGUGUGCAUGUAUAACAUGAUGUUUGCAUAUUGCUAUACCAACAAUAUCUGAUCCCAUUCAGAUAACAGUAAAGCAGCCUACAGCUUAGACCAGGUUCAAAGAAACUCACACUGCCUGCUCUUUUCUUUCUUAUUUUAGGUUUGAUCUACUUGCUUUCACAUUUGCAUGUUGUGUUUCUGAGCACCUACCCUCACGUUUUUCAAGCUUCAGCAAGGGAGAGCACUUUCAAUAUAUAUCAUCUGCAAAAGUGUCCCAUGUCCUGUGAAUAUGCUGACAUUCAAUCUGAUCUAAAAAUUUGAGAGGACUGGCAUCUUCUCAAUCUAGCCUCUUUCUUCCUGGGGUAGCCUAGAUUAAUACUUUGAUCCUUUCCUUCUCUGAGCAAUUUCAGAAUCCGUUGCCAUUGCAGCAGAGGACACUCUGGCUUCACUCAAUCUGUGAAGAUCCUUGCACCUUUGCAGAAAUGCUCAGAUUCUCACAGAUUUUAACUCUUCUCUGCAGCUGGCCUGGGGGAGUUAGCUGGGGGAAUAUCACUGGAGCAGAUAGUCCAUGUCAAUGGCUGCUGGACCACUGUCAGGAGAAUGGAUCCUGUCUGGAGAGGGACAGAACAGAAUCUGUAUCCAGACAAAUCAUCUCUAAUGUGAUUUUAGGCUUUAGGCAUUAAUUAAUUUCAAACUGUUUUCCUGUAUCUCUUUGAGUACUGCUCCAUAUAGUAAAAGCAAAUGACCAAGAAAAGAGAGGGAGUUAAUCUAAAAGAGAAACUGAGCUUCUCUUCAACACUCUUAGUAUUUUUUUUUUGCAUAAUUAGUGGAGAAAUUGGAACAGCUCUGCCAGUUUCAAGACAAGGUUUCAAGUUCAUCUUUAGUGAACAUUGGGAUGCCAAUAAGGAUCAAACUACAAAGCCAACAACACAAAUGUGGAGGAGGCUCAAGACUAGCUCGGUGAUUUGCUGCAUGAACAGGAAGCAAGGUCCUCAAUUUUUCUUUGAAGAAAACAAGUUUUCUGUGUGCAGUUCAUACAAAUAGGGAGAGGAAGAGGUGUCUGACUAAUAGUGAGAGGUAUGGUGAAAUCUGGGUUGUAGUCCCUGUUCUACAGACAGCCCUUUCCAUAUGCCAAGGCAGGAACCAUGCAGGUGAAUGAAUGUUACCCUGUUAUCCCUGGGUCCCUGGGCUGGGUGCAAGCACAUAUGGAAUUAAUGUAAUGGAAUUACAUUUAAUGUUUGUACAGUGGCAAAAACUGGUGUCAAUCACAGCCUUUUAAAGGUGUGUUAAACAGGACAGUCUCUCUCAUCCAGAAGAGGGGAUUUUCCUGGCAAGUCUAAGAACCAGCAGGAGCUUGUAUAAGUGGUCAUAACAAAUGGUUGCCAAGCUAUGAAAGCAACAGGUAAUUCAGGUGUGGUAUCUCAUAGCCUGUUGUUAUCUUUAAAGUGAGAUUUGUGAGCCUGUGUGUGGACUUGUGCGGGUAGUGUAUGUCAGGUUAAAGCUUUAUUUCCGUAAAUCACAGAAUCACAGAAUGAUUUCUGCUGGAAGGGACCUUAAAUAUCUUGUUCCAAUCCCCUGCCAUGUGCAGGACACCUUCCACUAGACCAGGUUUCCUAAAGCCCCUUGCAGGGAUGAGGCACAAAGUAGUUUUUUUUUUUUGCUUCACUCCACAAGUUGUUUGCACAGGAUCUGAAGGGCUGUUUUCAGUGCACUAUGGAAAGACACUGCUGUUGUUAUUUUUACUACUUCCUUAUCAUGUAUUUCAGGCUCUGCAGUGACAGUGAUGAUUACCUAAGAAAUAAGAAAUCAUUAGCUUGACUAAGUAUUUUCCACAAAGGAGCAUUUAUUUAUGGUGACACAGAAAUAUCAUAGAUCAUUGCAAUGCUCUGAAGCAGCACAGAAACUGUGAAUUUCAAUGGAUGUAGCCAAGAGGAGAUUAAAGGUCUUUGGCUCAAGAGCUUUCACUAUGAAGACAUAACAAUACUUUUCUUUUCAUGUAGUUGCAUCUUCAUAAAAAUCUGUUAAACUGCAGCUUGCAGAGGAAGUGUAAAGCACAAGGCAAAUUAAAGUACAAUAACCCUGAAAGGACAAAGUGAUCCAAGCAGUAAUGUAGUACUUACAGGGAAAAGAAUUGAGAUUACUGAUGGCUCAGUGCACAGAAGCAGCAUUUAUUAUGAUGGAAAAGUGUACUCUGUGAAUUAAUUCUGUCAGUUCUGUGCUGGCCUGUUUCUCAUUUUACAUGGCAAAUACUUUGAUCCACGUUAUAAUGUAGGUACUUUUACAACCCUGGGAAAUUUGCUGCCCCAAUCUACAGAUGAAAUAAUUUAAUCAUAAGUAUUUCACCAGACAUUUUUCAAACCAAUUUAAUUAGGUUUCAUUGUUUACAGACUUUGAGUAUAGCAUCCAGAGAUUAUUUAGGAGCACAACCUACUUGUCAACUUGAAAGAAAAUGAAAAAUUGGUUAGCUGUUAUUAUUUAAAACUCCAAAGUGUUCAAGUAUCUGGGUUGUUUUUUUUUUUUUUUUCCUUUGAAAGAAUUGGUUUUUUAUGAAUUUCUCUCUGUAAUCUUGCCAUUCCUGUGCCUGUGAAUACAUAUAUUCUCAUGUAGUUUAGGAAGGAAUUAUGGCAUUACAGUGAUUUUGGAUGGAUUUUGAGCUCUGCUAUAUUCUUAUAACAUUUCAGAAUUUCCUGGGGCCUCAGAAGGGUUGUUCCAGAUUUAUGGUUGCAUAACACCAGCAGAAUUCUAUCCCUUUAUAUUUGCAUUCAGAGCUAAUGCAUUAGUCAUCCAGGUCCCUAAACAGGUUAAUUAUCCAGUCCAGUUUUUCAGUACUGUUUUAACUGUUGUAUUUAUAACUUUUAUGAAUUUCAUAUAACAUUAGAUGACAGUAAAUAGGUUUAAAGAUAAGCUGAACUUCUAAAGAUGGAAACUGCUGAUAUUUUUUUACUAAUUUCUAGAUCUCUUGUAUUACCAGUACUCUUUGGGAAAGUUCUGAUUUACAAAAUAUGAUCUCAUGGGAUGUUUUAUCUUAUUGGCUUCUUGCCAUGUUGCCAGAAUGCAGUGUAUUCAGACAGAGGCACCCAAAGUGCAUGCCUCAGCAUGCAGAGAAAGAGUGCAAAGCUGGCUUUCAUUUUCUAGAAACAGAUCCCUGUAACAGUGUUCCUCCUGCUGAAUGGCUUUUUAUUGUUGAUUUUAUGCUUUUGAUUGAGCUAUGUGGGUUUAUGUUUUUGAGACAUGUACCAUUUAUUCACAGGAAAAGUCCAAGAUACAGAAGUUUUCUUACAGUGGACUCAAUGCUUUUGAAACCUUUACUGGAAACCACCAUUCUCUGCCUGCUCUCAAACACAGCACUUAUCUAUAGCUCUGCCUGCACAGCUCAGGAAACAUUCCUUACAAAACAUGGCUUUCCACCCUUUCUAAGAAGGUGCUGCUCUAGAAUAGAAAAGAUAACUGGCUUGGUAUUAUGCUGAGGUUUUAAAAUUGCCAAAAAAUCUAUUUAAGAAAGUUUACCUUAAGAAAUCUUGAAAAUACUAACUUAGGAAAUAACACCUUCUCAGUAAGCCCUAUGAAGAAUUUUUGGUUUUCAAGCAUCUGUGUUGUUCAGUUGAACUGUUCAUUCCCCUCCCAUUAGUAAUUUAAUAUCUGUGUUUUUCAUAGAGCAGCUCAGCAGUUUGCCAAAUGUUAUUAGCAGAAGGGCAAAGCAAAAGAAGAUUCUGAUCAGAAAUCAGAACCACUUCAGUAAAAGCCUGGCUCAAAUAUGCACUGAAUGGAGGUGAAGUUGGCAGUUUCACUUGUGGGCAGUUCAUGUGAGAUCAUUUAAAAUGAUCUGGGAAAAGGUCUGAAGAUCAGCUCCUCAGUGAUCUCUGCUUGUAUCUUGUGCAAUAAUGUAUUUUUCUCCUCGACUUCUUUUCAUCUUUAUUAAUCUAGCUGUAUCUAUAAAAUUAAUAAUUAGAAAUAGAUUAAUACAGAUCCAAAAAUUUCUUUUUUCCCACCCCCCUGUCCUUUAUAUUUUUGUUCUCUUUCUCUCCCAUAGCUUACUUGAUUAGUAUUUUAGCUUUGUUGAAGGAACAUAAAUACUGCUGCACCUACUUGGGUAAUUUUUCAAACCAACAACAUUUGAAUGACUAUAAAUUAAAAGCCUGCUUUUACUGAACCUCUGGUGAUACACACUCUUCUUAUUUGCAUUUAGGUCCCUGUGAUAAUAUUCUGGUAAGAUCUGAGAUAGAAUUGUCUUUGCCAAGCCAGGUUUCUGAAACUGACAGUGGAACACUCAACACAGCUUGGGUGAUAAGGUAGCACUCAGUGAAGUAGCAAGCAGCAUUUAACAGCUUUGCAGAAAGGAUUACUUCCAUGAAAGUUUUCAACCCAGAUAGAACCAGGGAAUUUAGAAAUUGUGUAGAAAGUCAUGCCCUCACAAGAUUUUGUUACUGUCUAGGUCAAGAGUUAGAUGAGGUUUAGACAAGGUUCAUGUCCUGAUGCUUUGCCAUCCAUACUGAAAAACUUGAUAUGAAUUUGAGCAUCUGAUUAUGCAGCUGGUACCCAAUUAAUUUGUUGUUAGCCUUUUUAAGUACUGCAUUUUAGAAGUCUCAUAUUUUUCAGCUUGAAUGGUGUUUCUCUGGCAGCACUUUUUAUGGGAUUUUGGAGCUGUGACCAACAAAUAGUUUUGUUCUUGUUUCUGUAAUAUUUUCUGCAAUUUCUGCCAAGGCAUUGACAUAUGUGAAGAACUUUGCAAUUUUUUUUUAACUCUGUGGUUAUUUCAAUUUUGUAGGAUUUAUUCAAUACCCAUCAAGUACUGAGAUAAAGUGAUAUUCCCUGGAAGAAGAACAGUGUAGUCAAGUGCAUUGGAAGAUGAAAAGAUGAUACACAGAAAUACCCCUGAGAAUUGUAGUAAUGUCAGUGUCAGAGUUCUCUCACAAGCUAGCACAGGAGGCGGGUUGCUUUGUGGAACAGGUUCAAUGCUCAGUCUUACUUCAGGAGUGAUUCCCCUGAGCAUAGCUGACUCCACUUUGCCUCUCUCAAUUAGAGGACAGUGAUGGGGAUGUUAUGCAUGCUAGACCACACCAGAAAAGCACUCUCUGCACCCACAUGAAGUUUAGCAGAACGAGGCUGAAUAUGGCAACUUGUGUCUAUCCCUCUCACUUUCUUUUAUAAAACCAUUUGAUAAAAACAACUCAGGUCCCCUCAGUGUUGAUAGUCAUGGUUAACCUCCUAACCAGCUGGCCUUCAAUGAUAAUUUCCUGUUUAGAGUCUAAUUCCUGUUCAGUACUCAGGCAAUGUAUGUUUCAUGAACUGACCUGCUGUCUGAGGAAGCUUCAGCAAUUUUUUCUUCCAAAAAGAUAUUUAGCCUUACUUCCCCAGCUGGACAAAGCCAGUGAUGAAAAAUCACUCUUAUCACUUUUCUGAAAUAUCAAAGUUGUCUCUCCUCAUGGCAGAGAAUUCCAAACUGUCCUGGAGACAGCAGGUCAUGUGAAUAUCCUUGCUGUAUUCCUAAUUGUUUGCUCUGGCAGUUCCCAGUGAAGCAGCUGGUUGUCUUUGGAAAGUUAUGCUUGUUGUUUUGGGUUUGAACAUCAUGUGUCUUUAAUUUUCAGCACUAGCCACAGGGAUAAGUAUCACAAAUAUCUGCUUGAAGGCCUUUUGCCCUUGGGAACCCAAUAUAUACUUGGCAGCCUCUCUGACAGUGGGACUGAGAGGAGAAUCAAAGUUGAUUCAUUGCCUUAUACUCCCACAGGGAAAAGAAAGAAUAAAAAUGGCAAUUGCUGCUUCAUUCAGUUGCCUGAGGCAAGUCUUUCCUGUUUUGUAGAGAGUAAACUAAUGUAAUUUCUAAAAAAUCUUCCUUCCCUCUGUAUGAAAAAAUUAUUCCAUCCAGUAUCAUAGAGCUAAUUCUGAGGCUUGGCUUCCUCACAUCCCACUGUGCCCCCAGGUGGACUUCAGAAUUCCACGAACCUGCACAUAACCAGAAAUGGACUUUCACAUCUUCCAUUCAGUGCCUACCUCCAGCAGAAUCUACUGCCAUGUUCUUCAGCUCAGCAGACAGUAAUCUCUAAUGAAGAUGGGUUUGUACAAUGCUGGAAAUGGUGCUACACAGUGAAAAGGGGUUGAAGCCUGCAGGUGGAGAGAAGGUGGAUUGCCCUUUAUUUGUUGUGCCCAAGCUGUUCACAGACUCUGAUUUCCUACUGCAUUAUCAUGACCAGCCUAAACGAGCAUCUUGCUAUGACUUCCAGUGGAGAUAGGCAUUGCUCUGGCUGCAGAUGUAACUUCCCAAAUGUUCCCCACUUUCUGUGCCACACUGAAGUGGCACAGUCAUCAGUGUUGGUAACAUCAUGAUACAAAGGGGCAGCCUGAGCUCCAAUGUAUGCAUUAGCUAAAGAUUACACAGAGUGCCAGUUGAGCUCUGAUUCCUUUAGAAAUGUGGCUCGGCAGAGCUCCAAGCUCACACCAAGUGAUGCCAAGACAUUUGCUCAUGUCUCCAUGGCCCCUUAUCUCAAGUGGUGAAACUGCCAGAAAUCAUUUUCCCUAAUAGAAAAACAACAUGCAUUUUGCAUGUUGCUCUUUUUUAUGUAAAACUGAUUAGUUUAUGAUUUUGAUUUGAAAAUAGAAUUCAACUCUUGUAUUUUUGAUCUGAAAAAAUCAUUUUUCUUUAGGACAGCUUUUUCAUUUUUCUAGGAAACUCAUUCCUUUAAUUUUAUAAUCAUCUCAACUCAGCACAAAAAUCUUAUGGAAGAUGGUGGCAAUUAUCAACUAUGCAAGUCAAGCAUUUUAUUUUCCAGUCUCCAAGUUUUGCUGUUAGUCCUAAAAUUCAGUGCUAUUCUAAGGAAUAUGUUUUUGAGUUGAUGAGGGAUUUGUGAUACUACUUAAAAACAAAAGAGAAUUUUAGCUGGGGAAGAAACUAUCAAAGAUGAAUGGAUGUAUUAGCUUACCAUGGAUCUGAACUUUGUCUUGCAAGACACUGCACAGGCUUUCAGUGAUACAGAUCCCAUUGGAAUCAGCUAUUGUCUAACAGCUGAAAAUAACAGGGCUCAAAAUGGUUCCAAUUAUUCCUGAUUGAAAGGUGAGUUGGUAUGGCUUUUUUGAUGCUCUAUUUGAAAUAUGCUUGUAUAUUGCUUAAUUAUAUUAAUAUAUGUAUUUAAUCACAGAGAACACAGAGAGUAUGAACUUGAUCUGUAAGCAAGACCCAGUCUUUACACUUGCAGGAAUGUAUGCCUGGACCUGAUUGUACAAUUAGCAUUGGUUUUGCUUUGUAACAAUUUCCUUAGGUUUUAAGCACUUCAGUUUUCAUUAAAGCAUGAUUCCUUUUGCA
Haemorhous mexicanus (house finch) is the source of this 9544-nucleotide long non-coding RNA. RefSeq lists it as uncharacterized. The transcript is spliced from 4 exons. NCBI's taxonomy places the organism in Eukaryota, Metazoa, Chordata, Aves, Passeriformes, Fringillidae. The record is from RefSeq and is a predicted model, not a curated record.